RNAcentral lists this unclassified non-coding RNA (380 nucleotides) under uncultured fungus. RNAcentral describes it as "sequence contains ITS1". The stretch from base 1 to 105 matches the Rfam family "5.8S ribosomal RNA", at positions 50 to 154 of the family's 154-position model. Lineage: Eukaryota; Fungi. The record is from RNAcentral.
GAAUUGCGAUACGUAGUGUGAAUUGCAGAAUUCAGUGAAUCAUCGAAUCUUUGAACGCACCUUGCACCCUCUGGCAUUCCGGAGGGUAUGCCUGUCUGAGUGUCGCGAAACCGAUCUCCCCGCACCCUUGUGUCCGGGGGGGUGUUGGGCGCUGCGGGACCCCCCCCACGGGGGUCCGGCUCGCUUCAAAUGCAGUGGUGGUGCCGAGGAGGCCUCGAUGCGCCGUCGGCUCGAAACGUAAUAACAUUCCGUGGAGAGCGGGCGGCGGCAGAGGCGGGCUCAGCGCGCUGCCUUACCCGGCUGGGGAGGGGGGCCGUCCCCCCUCCCCAACCGUUUUCAUCACCGACCUCAGAUCAGGUAGGACUACCCGCUGAACUUAA